UCUUCAGUAGUAUAGUGGUCAGUAUUCCGGCUUGUCAUUCCAGCUCGCCGGCGACCGGGGUUCAAUUCCCCGCUGGAGAG
Paraphoma chrysanthemicola is the source of this 80-nucleotide non-coding RNA. The record is from the annotation of a GenBank genome assembly. NCBI's taxonomy places the organism in Eukaryota, Fungi, Ascomycota, Dothideomycetes, Pleosporales, Phaeosphaeriaceae.